This 5669-nucleotide long non-coding RNA is filed under the name Equus caballus (horse). RNAcentral's name for it is "lncRNA (ENSECAG00000058014.1)". The record is from RNAcentral. Lineage: Eukaryota; Metazoa; Chordata; Mammalia; Perissodactyla; Equidae.
AUGUUAAACAAGCUUUAUUAAAAUUAAGUACUGUGUGUCCUGAUAGACAGACAGACAGAGUCUUAGAAAGACAGAUAAGCAAGUUGUCGGGCCGUUGAGUCUGGCUUAUGAGCAAAGCUGCUGCCGUCACACGGUGACCCCGGGCAAGGCCUGAGCUGGUUGUGUGGAGGGGGUCACGGCCACACCAUCACACCUGGCUGGCAUCUCCCUUAUAAACAUGCCCCUGACUGGCCAACCAGGAUGGCGGAAGGCUGUCCUGCAGCCAGAGUUGGGAGCAAGAACGCAGCCUGAAGCCCCAGGGCCUGUGUUCCAAUGGCGGCCACCCUUGGCAUGGUGUCUGUCUGUCCCUUCGGCACAUGGCACAUACAGCUAUGUUAACUCACAAGCCUCAAUCAGGGAGUUAUGACACCUUACCUGGACCAAACAGUUUGCCUUUGCUUAUCUGUGAGAAAAAAGUUUACUAGUCAAAUUAAUAAUAAUAACAUCUGUAGACAUUAAUUUUGUCUUAUUUAAUAAAACAACUUUUAAAUACUUUAAGAAAUUAAAGUAAGAGAUGCUACCCUCAGGAUGAGUCAAAAAGGGGACUGGCAGGACCUUCUUUUAGCACCCCACCAACCUGGGAAAACGUGAGACAACUUACAAUAAAAAGCAUAGAUAACGAUGAAACGAAAAAGCAUUAAAAUAAGAGCAGAAAUAUAAGAAAGUAGUAGUAAUGAUGAAAGUGAGCAAGAAAGCCCAGGCCGAGAGAAAAAGUCUCAAUCCUGCCCAAAGCACAGCUCAGCUAAGAGGCAGUGAGAGAAACAGCUCCUGAGAUCUACACAGCGAGCGACCUGCCUACCUCUCGCCAGGUCACGGGAGCCCUUGUUCGAGUGCAGUCCCCAGCCCACCUCCCAAGAUUCGGCGGGCCUGGGACUUGAUGUUGGCAGGUCUGGAAGGGGACUCAGGCCCCUUUUCCUGUUUUCUGUCCCCGAGGUGAUUUGUGGGCCGUCCGGUUAGGAAGCAAGAGGGCUCGAGCAGGAAGGACAUUCGCAGGUCCCGGGCUCCCUGACGCACGAAGCUGUAAGUCGUGAAAUGUCUAGUGUUCGUGCCUUAGACUCACCCUCCAGUGGACGGGCUGAACCCACACCACCUCAUUUCCCUCUGCCUGUCGACGCUUCAGAAUCCCGCCCUGUGUCCCCUGUCAAAUGCCACUUUGUCCCCAUGAACCAGUAGCAUGCAGAGUGGCCUGUACGCAGCAGGUGCUCAGUAGAUGUCUACAAGGCGUCUGCGGUCUGGACCAGGGCUUCUGUUUACUCAUAUGGUGCUGACAGCAGAAAGCUGCAAAGAGGCGGGGCUGGACUCACACCCCCAGGUCUCUACCUGUGAGAGAACCCGGCCUCAGGCGGGAGGGGAGGAGGCGCAGGCCGCUGCAGGGUGGUUCAGAGCAUGGGCUCUGGCUUAGACCUGGAAGCAGCGGAGCUGUGUGUCCUUGGACAGGGCACUCAACCUGUCUGUGCCUUAGCCUCCUGGCCUAUAGGAGGUAGAUCAUGAUGGUGUCCACUUGUGAUGUCAUUAUGGAACCUGAGCGAAUGAAUACAGAGGAAGCACGUGGUGGGCGCUCGAUACCAGAACUGUCCCUUCUCUCUCUUCCUGUGUGACCAGUGCCCCAUCACAGGAACGGCAUGAUCUGUGAGGACUGGGGAUCCUGGGGACCCGCUCCUGCUCACAGAGUGACACCACGUUCCUGCAGGGCUCCCGAGCUCACGCAGCGCUUCUAAGCAAUCAUCAUAUUUUGUCACCUGUGCAGCCCGGAUACAGCAGGAUGGGCCCAAAUUACAGCGGCCGGCACAGAGAGAAGCCGAGUGAUUCCAUGAGAUUACAUGGCUGAUGAGUGACAGGGCCAGAGCUCAAACUCAGACCUUCCGCCUCCAAGUCGAGUUGCCAUCCCACCCGGGCGUGGUCUGGAACCCUCUGCGGCCUGGGUAGCUGUGGGUGAUGGCAGCCCCCUGGAGUGACACAGGCAUUGGCAGCCUGGCCAUUGAGGUGGCUUCUGAGUCCACAGGGAGACACAGCCCUGCAAGUCAGGCUUUUUCAAGAGAGAAGGAGAUCCCCAGGUUCCAAAAGCCACCUUUGUGCUUCAGGAGGCCUGUCUGGGGCCACAGGUCCUGCCGUCACCAUCAGGGGAGCUCAGACAUGCCUGUGGAGGGCCCCGACCAGGGGGACCAGCCUCCAGGGCAGCCGCCAGGGACAGGAGAGCUGUCACAGCAGGGACCUCCAGUGAGCUCAGGACCCCAGCCCACACUGGCUAAACCUGGUGACGUGGUGGCUGAAAACGCCAAGGUGUGCAGAGGCAAGGAACAAGAGGAGAGGCUCGUGCCAGUCAGGGGCUGUGUCCCCUAGAUGCAUAUGUCGACAUCCUGACCCCCUCAGGAUGCGACUGUAUUUGGAGACUGGGCCUUUAAAGAGGUGGUCAAGGUAAAACGAGGCCCUUAGGGUGGGCCCUGAUCCAGUGUGACUGGUGCCCUCAUGAGAGAGGAGAUGAGGACACACACACGCACAGAGGUAAUACCAUGUGAGGACACAGGGGGAAGAUGACAGUGUCCACACCCCAAGGAGAGAGGCAUCAGGAGGAACCAGCCCUGCUAACACCUUAAUCUCCAACUUCCAGCCUCCAGGAUGGAGGAAGAACAUGUUUCUGUUGUUUAAGCCCCUGGUCUGUGGUAUUUGACUGACUGACACUGGAACCUGGGAGAAGGCCACACCCAGAGACCCUCCCAGGUUACCAGGAGCCUCGAUAGAAGCAGAGAAAUGAGGCCAUGGCCUGUGCAAGCCAAGAGAGCUGGGGAUACCUUCCUUGGUCCCCACCCCACUCCCAGGUGGUAAGGAAGGGAUCCAUCAGGAAGGUCUGCCCUCUGGGGAGAGCGAGCGGGAUGCCUGGGGGCUGCAGUAGGGGUGGGAGGCUGUGCAGGGCUGGGGAGCGGGCAGGUGGAGGCCGAGCCUCCGAGGGCCCUGAGGCCAGGGGUGAGGGUCGGGGGAUAGCUCAGGGCCCCCACGCCAUCAAGGGGUCAUCAGCCAUGGGCUCCAGCAGUAGAAGGCCCACGACUCCCAGGACAGCAGCGCGGAACGUGCCGGGGCCUGACCGUCCUCCCCUGUCCACCUGAGGGCGUAUAAAGUUCCCCAUGCUCGCGUCUCCCGGCCACUUGCCUGGGAAGGCAGAGGCUUGUCUGGGUCUGCUGAGAGGGGUGGGCGCCUAGAACUACGCUUGGCACACAGCAGGCCCUCAGGAAACAGCUGUUCAAUGAAUGAAUGGGUGGAGGAGAAAUCCUGAAAACUGCGUUUACACAGUCAGUCUCCUGUGAGAGGCCGCAUCACCCCCAGUUGGCGGGUUCGCCCCACCAGCCUUGGCGGGGGCAUGAGAACGAGACAGGGGUCAUUUCGUCCUGAAGCUGGGGAGGGGAGCCUGCCCAUAAGUGGCAAGGGCAUUCCAUCCAGGUCCUGGGCAUGGGGAGAGGCUCACAUGGCCCUUGGGCUCCGUUUGUCACAGCCUGGGAUGCUGGCUUUCCUGGCACUGAGAGAGUGACUGCCUGAAGCGGUGGGCGCUGGGGAGGCUGUCGGUGGGAAGGGGGCUGGUGUGGUGCCCAGGAUGUCACUGCUAUUAGAACAGGUCAGUGUAGACCCCCUCUGCCCACCCGCGGGUCCCUCCAGACCAUCCUGGGGACUGUACAUAUACAGGACUCUAGGACACCUGGUGUGGACCCACCACGUUCGGUUUGGACUCAGUGAGCUGGGAACAUGGACGCGUGUUGGCUGCUGCCUCGUGGCACCCUGGGGCACCCGUGGAGCACCUACUGAGGCUGGAUAGGUCCCCACCCCGAGUUUGGAGUCCUCGUCUGUAAAUCGGGGCAAGCAAGCCCCCUGGGGGGGUUGUGAGGUGCACCACGAAGGUGUCAGCAGAGCCCUCACCCAGCACGGGGCUGAGCCAGUGUCUGUCUCCCUGGAAUUGCGGGACUGCGUGAGGACCCGUCCGGGCCUGGGACCCAGCUCUCCUGGCUGCCGUCCUCCCUGCAUAGGACUUACACGAGGGGGUCUCACAAAGCUGAGCGCAUGGAACUCCCAUUCUGUGAAGAGAGAAGUUCUGAAAAGCCUUUCUGCUAACAAAUGCCUAGACAUUUGUUUAAAAUGAUGCAAACAUUUUUCAGUGUUCUGCUGAGGUCCGAACAAAGUGAGGGAAGUUCCCGGAGUGGAGCAAGAGAAGCUGAAGGCCAGAGGGCGGAGCGGGAGCUGCCCGGUGCCUGCACCUGCUGUCCCCAGGCUGAGCCAGGGCGCUGGGGACACAGACAGAACACAGGCCGCUGCCCUGAAUGACAGGCCAGGCUGUGAAGCCAGGAUGGACGGGACGUUCUGCAAACAGCUGCCUAAGACUCCCCAAAGUGUUGACGCCGGAAAAGGCAGCCAGACAACGUCUGAGGCACCGUCAGAAGAAGAAAGGGAGCUAGGAGACAUGAAAACUUUGCCAAUUUAAAACGGGACGAAUGGGAAGGAAGAAAGCCUUCGUGAGCAGAGAGGGAGAACUGGAAGACGCAGAAGGCCACCAGGAGCCUGGGAACCACGGGUUAGUCGCAGAGGAAAGAAGAUUUUGUACAGCAGAUCUCACCUUUUAUGACACCAAUGACGUCCCUGGUCUGUGUGGCUGAAGCAGCACGUGGUCCUGCAGGGUGGACCCGGGCCACCUCUGCACCUUCACGGGGGACCAUUCGCUGCAGGCGUUCUCUAAGAAAAGCACUGGGCUUUUAAACAGCUGUCAGGUCCACAAAGUUCAAGUCCAUGCAUUUCUUCUCCUCUCAUAUUGAUAAGAAUUUAUAGUAAGAACCCAAGAUAUCUGCUAUUUUAAAUAACUUGAGAAUUUCUUUUUUGUUACCAUAUAUGUUCCCUUAAAAAAGAAAAGAAAAACAGAACAGUGGGCAGGAACGUAACUCCUAAGCAGCCGUCCAUCAACACCUAACUCGCCACAGCAGAGAGAGAGUUCCCAUGUGCUUGGUUUGUGACAAAACGUGAGCAUCCCGAGACACGGCCCCAGCUGCCCAGGAAAGGAGAGCUGUGACGCUGGACUCUGCUCACGGCAGAAGCCACACGGCCCCUCCACUCAGCUGAGAGCAAAGCGGAAACUGCAGGAGGUGGAUGUAAACAUGGCUGCUGCCCGGUUUGCGUCUCCCAGGCACAACCUGCAGUACCGAAGGCAGCCCGGUACCUGUGGAAGGGCCCCGGCAGCCCCCCAGCUGUAGACACGCCCAGUGGCCCUGAUUCUGAGGGGAGCCAUGUCCCAUUUGGGUCACUUCAGGAGGCUUUUCAUGACAGUGACUUAUGAGAAUGUCAGUACUUCCAGAACCCCUGCCAAGUCCAGCUUCCAGACAAGCACGGAACCCUCACGGCCUGCACAGCUCCAACCUUCAGCCCCCAGAGAGAAGCCAGUCAAGGAUUUCCACGACUCCAGCUCUGUACCUGUGUCUGAUCUCACGCACGCAGGCACAAACAUAUGCAUGCACACACACACACACAUACACACACACAGGGGUUAUUUCUCUAUCUGCUGGCUUUCUUGUGCCCAGAGAUUGUCCUUUUCCCAGCCUUGUGGGCCCAGGGGGGACCAGGAGGGCAUGUGCCCGGGAACAGCUCCUGUCUAGAAGACUUGG